Long non-coding RNA from Artibeus jamaicensis (Jamaican fruit-eating bat), 1756 nucleotides. RefSeq lists it as uncharacterized. The record is from RefSeq and is a predicted model, not a curated record. Lineage: Eukaryota; Metazoa; Chordata; Mammalia; Chiroptera; Phyllostomidae. The transcript has 3 exons.
GCUGCCCCUCCCCCGCAGCCGUCUCCCACCAGCGCUCUGCUAGGUUUUCCCCUGGCUCGGGGCUCCCCCCCUAGCCGAAUAUAGAGCUCCAGAGCCACGUGGACCCAAGCGGGCUCGGCCGAGGCCCGGCCGGGGAAACGCCGGAGGCUGCACGGACCGAGUCGCCUCCCCAAGAGGGGCGCUGCGGGGACAGCUCCGCUCCACCUUGCUCUGCGGCCUCCGCCCGCAAACCGGCAAGGCUAGGGAAGGGCGUCCAGUUUGCGCAGGGCCUCGUGGGGUCAGCCCUAGGGAGGAGGCGGAGGGCGCCCACCACCAAGAGGACGCGGCGGUGCCCUGAGGAGCCCCAGUCGGGUGCAAGCUCGACUGCCUGCCUUCUUUACUUCCUCCCGGAUUCCGAAGCCUCAACGUGGUGUAGAGAAAGGGGACCCCAGGUAGGGGCUGGCCCCGAGGUGGCCUGGGGCUGGGGCUUCCAGAACCAGGCCCUCUUAGGGAUGAGAGAGGGUGCCCUUUGGCCUCCCUAGAAGCACCUCCUGGACUUUGCUCUCACCGAGAUGUGCGGCAGGUAUUCAACGCUCUCUCGGUAUUUCUCCGAAAUGCUUUCGCGUCGGGGAGGAGGGAAGCCGGAGUGUCCCUAGGAGCAUCAACUACUGUUCUCUCCCAGGCUGCCUCUUCCCACCUCUUCUAACAGGGAGUCCCAGGCUCCGCACCUGAACGUGUGGCUCCGGGCAUCUUCCAGCUCCCGAAAUACAAGAGUGAUCUUCCUGCUGCCCUCAGGGACAAGGGCCUGCAGCGCCCCGUGGCUUUGCAUGAUGAGAUAACCAGUGCUUUCGCCUUCUGAUUUGACUCAGCGUGCUGCAGAGACCAGGUCAAGUCUCUCUCCCCACUGAUGGCAGCACCCAUCACACGCCUGUCACAUGGUCCAUGCUCAGUAAAGGGCUCCUGGAUGAAUUAAUAAGGCAGUGUUGUUUAUUGCAAGAUCAAAUUAUAUAAUGUGCAGGAAAGCAUUUUGAAAAGUACUGUAGGAAAUGCUGUAGUAGUCCAGUACUGUACUCCUAUCCUGGUAGCAUCUGGAGAGGACCUGACCGGGCAAGUCAGUGGCCCCAGGUCAUCCAGCUGGUCUGCCUUUUGGCCAAGGACCAGUCAGCCUCUUGCUUCAGCCUGUGGGUCUUGGCAGUUCCCCUCAGUGACUCCGCAGCAAGAGGGAAACCUAACUGAGUGACUCCGUGGUGAGACACGCAUAAAUCAUCACCAUGUCUAUAUAAAGAUACGCACAUCAGACACAUCUUUUCCCAGAUGGCUGACGGGCUUUUUCCUACCCUCUUCCUUCCCAUUGCAGUGCGUGUCUCGGGAGGUAGGAGAGAGGGCCUGUCCCCUUCUCCUUUUUUUUUUUUUCUUUAGCGUUGUGACAUUCCAGGAAAGCAGUACUUCUUCUGCCUCCCCUGGACCGUUUUCAGGAGCCCAGAUCUGGGGGCUAAGUGUCAGGAAUGUGUGCACACGAGAGUGUCCCUCCUCGUCCCCUUGAGUACGUCCCCACACACGCCCAGCCGGAGGACAACUGGUAUUAGUCAUUACUGGGGGUGUCUGCACACUGAGUUCCCUUGGGGAGCCCCGACUUUGACGUAAUGUGCACCAUCCCCCCAUGCUUUUGGAGCAACAGCAGAGCUCUCAGGAACAAUGGUUAAGGAAAUUGAUCUCAUCCCGCCCCACCCCCGCCCCUGGCACAUCCCAGUGGAAAGGUCCGAGUGGGUUCUGGUGC